Molecule: ribosomal RNA, 445 nt
Filed under: Aleiodes sp. BMNHE897702
Lineage: Eukaryota; Metazoa; Arthropoda; Insecta; Hymenoptera; Braconidae
Description: LSU rRNA
Source: RNAcentral
CCUGAGAAACCCAAAAGAUCGAAUGGGGAGAUUCAUCGUCAGCUCAUUUUGUAUAUAUAUAAGUUGUGAUGCGGGUUACUACUUGUAGUAUUGCCUGCACAUUCUUUUAUAUUUAGUUGCAAGAUGUUGUCGGCGUGCACUUCUCCCCUAGUAGGACGUCGCGACCCGUUGGGUGUCGGUUUACGGCCCAAGUGAUAGCCUUUAAUGUAAUUUAAAAAACAUUGAAGAUCCUUGGUGUUUUCUAACCGGCUACUCGGCGGUAUUCGUACGGUAUUUAGCCGCUAAUUUAUUAGCGUUCAUGUCCGUCACAAGCGAGGCCAAUUUUUACUGAUAGUACGGACCUAGUGCCGUCGUUGGUAUUGGCCAGCUGUUGGUUGUACGGUAUUCUAGAACUGGCUAAAAUUAAUUACCGGUCGGCGAUGCUACUGCUUUGGGUACUUUCNGG